GCGCCCAUAGCUCAGUUGGUAGAGCAGUCGCCUCUUAAGCGAUUGGUCGAAGGUUCGAAUCCUUCUGGGCGCACCA
RNAcentral lists this transfer RNA (76 nucleotides) under Candidatus Taylorbacteria bacterium RIFCSPHIGHO2_01_FULL_43_120. RNAcentral describes it as "tRNA-Lys". It matches the Rfam family "tRNA". Rfam says of the family: Transfer RNA (tRNA) molecules are approximately 80 nucleotides in length. Their secondary structure includes four short double-helical elements and three loops (D, anti-codon, and T loops). Further hydrogen bonds mediate the characteristic L-shaped molecular structure. tRNAs have two regions of fundamental functional importance: the anti-codon, which is responsible for specific mRNA codon recognition, and the 3' end, to which the tRNAs corresponding amino acid is attached (by aminoacyl-tRNA synthetases). tRNAs cope with the degeneracy of the genetic code in two manners: having more than one tRNA (with a specific anti-codon) for a particular amino acid; and 'wobble' base-pairing, i.e. permitting non-standard base-pairing at the 3rd anti-codon position. RNAcentral also lists the same sequence under 6 other names. Lineage: Bacteria; Candidatus Tayloriibacteriota. The record is from RNAcentral.